Molecule: long non-coding RNA, 602 nt
Organism: Trichomycterus rosablanca
Lineage: Eukaryota; Metazoa; Chordata; Actinopteri; Siluriformes; Trichomycteridae
Exons: 2
Source: RefSeq, a predicted model, not a curated record
UCAGUGCUCAUUCUAACUUAGUCACUUGUACUAUUAAAGUUUGUUAUAUUUCUUUUAUUACAGAAAAUGUAAUUCAUUAUAGAUUGAGACCAAGCUCUCUUGAGUAACUGUUCUCUAAAUAUUUGAUUGGGUGAAUUGCUAUAGACUGGUUUUGAAACUAAAUUCAAUUUUUGUGAUUUCAGUAUUGAACUUUUGAUGGCAUGAGGAAACAAACUGGUUUCACCAAAGUUGCACGAGGGCCAGAAACUAAAUGGCUUCAUGAUUGACAAUACAUUUACAUCAAAGGCAGUGUACAUUAGACAAUGACACAUUUACGUUUGUCACCACAGAUUUAGAGGACAGUGGUGUGGAGGUUGACACGACAACAGCAUCUAGUGACCACAGAAGUACCACACCAGUCAUUGUAUGACUACAAGGGCUAAGGAUACCUUAAUCCACCUGAGUGACAGAAUAUUUGCUGUUGAGACUGUUCUGAAAUAUUUGGUUUCUGCAUGCAACAAUAAAUAAGAAACAUUUGUUUGCUUGGGACAAGAUCUUUGUUAACCAGUAUAAUAGUGAUUUCCUGACCUGUCCAUAACUUGAUAAUAAAUAUCAAAAUAUUA